CAUUUCCCGCCUUGUAGUUAUUUUUAUCUUUAACAUAAGGUGGAGGCAGUGACUGGAGGCUGGUCUGUGUGUCUGCAGGCACCUCAGCCCUCAGCAGGUUAGCCCUGGAGGCUGAAGAAACACUGAUCUCAGGGGUCUUGGGGACAGCUGGUCAUAAGUCCACCUCACUGAAUUCAGCACUACCCUUUCUGGGCCUCUCUCCAGCAAAGGGUUCUGCUAGGGGUUGGGAGGAAACCCUGAAGGAGCGGGGGCAGCUUGGCCAGCUCUCCUGCGCCCUGGCCAGUCAACUCACUUCCCUGCCUAAACUCUGCAGAUUCCGCCACAACGAUGAAGGGGAUUUCCCAGAGUGUGGGCCGCUGAAGAUUCCAGGUUGUUCUGGGACCCUGCAUUAACACCACUAACUCACGCUAGGAAGGCUUCUGACUGACCUUCGGACUGGCGUCCUUAUAGAGAUUAAGACACAGACUCACACGGAGGGAAGGCCAUGUGAAGAUGGGGAGAAAACAGCCAUCUACAAGCCAAGGAGCAGAGGCCUCAGAAGAAACCAACCCUGCCAGCACCCUGAUCUCAGACUCCCAGCCUUCAGAACUGUGAUUAUGCUUUGUUAUGACGGCCCUGGGAAACAAAUACAGCCCCUGAGGUGGAGCUCUCCCUGGGGCUGGGAGUUGGGGUUCUCUCUCCAUCAUUCCAAACUCUAUCUACAAGGCCAUGUGGGGUCAAGGUCGUUCCUCCCCUGAGCCUCACCCACUGCCCUCCGCCCAUCCCUUUCUAGGCUUUGCACACACACCAGCCUCAUUUCCACUAGGGGCCUCUGCACUGGCUCCUCCUGGACUCGAGUCUUUGCCAGAUUGUCUCCUUCUUAUUUUUCCAGUCUCACUUUAACCCCCAAGAUAAGGCUUUCCCUGAUCACCCCCAUCUCCCAAUCUAAAGCAAAAGUUUUUCUCAUCCUAACAUGAUUUUCUUUUCUUUAACAGCACUUAUUGCAAGGUGUAAUUAGACAGGUUUGUUUCCUUGAUGACUGUUUCUCUUCCUAGGGGAAUUGUAAGCUCUGUGAGGGCAGGGCCUACAUCUGCUUCAUUAACUAUUGUGUUCAGUUACAAGAUGCUGCUCAUGGAAUAAAUGGACUCCAGGCUAUACGUUGAGAUGGGCACUAGGAGAUCCAAGAGAGCCAGGCUGUGGGGCAUACCAGCCAUGAGGGUAGCUGCAAUGUCACAGGGGGAGCAGAAUAAGGGGCCGGCUAACCCUACCUGUCCUGGAUGCUUCCAGAGCAACUGGAGAAACGAGUGCUGAUGCACUCCAGUGGAGGUGGACAGUGUCCUUCCUUGUCACCCACCUAUUCAGCUGAGUAUCAACACAACCCCACCUGUGCAGACUGCACGUGUAGGCAUGGGCCAGGCCACCAGCUCUCAGCCAGCCGAAGUGGUUGGUCGGUGAAACUCUGAAACUGAGUCAUGGAUGAUACAGGGCUGUCUUCUGGGGUGGAGGCAUUUGUUUAUUAUGUAAAUUUCAAACCCACUAAUAUUCCUCCUAAGAAGUUACCUGGUUUGGAAUGUUGUGAAUGAAAACAAGAAAAAACAUGAACUAGACAGAAAAGUGAAGUUUGCCCACAUUAAAAAAAAAGUUGUAAACUGAUGUUUGAGCCUAAUUGUGUAAUUAUGGGCUCUUGUCCUUUCAGGGGCUGUGAGGCACCAGUCUUCUCUUGUUAGGAACAAUGGACAUGAAAGCCAGCUCCCAACAAUGUUAAAGUGUUAUGUUAAGUCCAGCACAUCUAAUAUAUCCCGUAUUUUGAACAAUAAAGAAACAAGUUUCAUUAAUGGCAUCUUCCUGGACCUGCUGAAUAAAUGAUGAACAAUAUUUCAAGAGCACCA
This 1868-nucleotide long non-coding RNA is filed under the name Homo sapiens (human). Its description in RNAcentral is "HSALNT0231651". Lineage: Eukaryota; Metazoa; Chordata; Mammalia; Primates; Hominidae. The record is from RNAcentral.